Molecule: ribosomal RNA, 950 nt
Filed under: Lepiota clypeolaria
Lineage: Eukaryota; Fungi; Basidiomycota; Agaricomycetes; Agaricales; Agaricaceae
Description: partial large subunit ribosomal RNA
Rfam family: Eukaryotic large subunit ribosomal RNA
Source: RNAcentral
UAAUACCGCGUGUGGGGAAAAUAGCAUAUCAAUAAGCGGAGGAAAAGAAACUAACAAGGAUUCCCCUAGUAACUGCGAGUGAAGCGGGAAAAGCUCAAAUUUGAAAUCUGGCAGUCUUUGGCUGUCCGAGUUGUAAUCUAGAGAAGUGUUACCCGCGCUGGACCGUGUACAAGUCUCCUGGAAUGGAGCGUCAUAGAGGGUGAGAAUCCCGUCUCUGACACGGACUACCAGGGCUUUGUGGUAUGCUCUCAAAGAGUCGAGUUGUUUGGGAAUGCAGCUCAAAAUGGGUGGUAAAUUCCAUCUAAAGCUAAAUAUUGGCGAGAGACCGAUAGCGAACAAGUACCGUGAGGGAAAGAUGAAAAGAACUUUGGAAAGAGAGUUAAACAGUACGUGAAAUUGCUGAAAGGGAAACGCUUGAAGUCAGUCACAUUGACUAGGGAUCAGCCUUGCAUUGCAUGGUGUACUUUCUGGUUGAUGGGUCAGCAUCAAUUUUGACUGCUGGAAAAAGGCUUGGGGAAUGUGACAGCUCUGGCUGUGUUAUAGACCCUUGUCAUAUACAGCGGUUGGGAUUGAGGAACUCAGCACGCCGCAAGGCCGGGUUUCGACCACGUUCGUGCUUAGGAUGCUGGCAUAAUGGCUUUAAGCGACCCGUCUUGAAACACGGACCAAGGAGUCUAACAUGCCUGCGAGUGUUUGGGUGGAAAACCCAAGCGCGUAAUGAAAGUGAAAGUUGAGAUCCCUGUCGUGGGGAGCAUCGACGCCCGGACCAGAACUUUUGGGACGGAUCUGCGGUAGAGCAUGUAUGUUGGGACCCGAAAGAUGGUGAACUAUGCCUGAAUAGGGUGAAGCCAGAGGAAACUCUGGUGGAGGCUCGUAGCGAUUCUGACGUGCAAAUCGAUCGUCAAAUUUGGGUAUAGGGGCGAAAGACUAAUCGAACCAUCAUGUUUCUU